This 75-nucleotide transfer RNA is filed under the name Thermoproteota archaeon. RNAcentral describes it as "Crenarchaeota archaeon tRNA-Asp". It matches the Rfam family "tRNA". From Rfam's summary of the family: Transfer RNA (tRNA) molecules are approximately 80 nucleotides in length. Their secondary structure includes four short double-helical elements and three loops (D, anti-codon, and T loops). The record is from RNAcentral. Lineage: Archaea; Thermoproteati; Thermoproteota.
GGAGCCGUAGCAUAAUCGGUUAAUGCACCUGAUUGUCGAUCAGGCGAUUUGCGAGUUCGAGUCUCGUCGGCUUCG